GUGGGAACUGCCAUAAGUGGGGGAAACAAGGAGAAACGGAUGCUAAUACCGCAUAAGUCCCGUCUCCGCAUGGAGACGGGAUAAAAGACGGCUCUGCUGUCGMUUAUGGAUGGUCCCGCGGCGUAUUAGCUAGUUGGUGGGGUAAAGGCUCACCAAGGCGAUGAUACGUAGCCGACCUGAGAGGGUGAUCGGCCACACUGGGACUGAGACACGGCCCAGACUCCUACGGGAGGCAGCAGUAGGGAAUCUUCCGCAAUGGACGAAAGUCUGACGGAGCAAUGCCGCGUGAGUGAAGAAGGUUUUCGGAUCGUAAA
RNAcentral lists this ribosomal RNA (314 nucleotides) under uncultured Carnobacteriaceae bacterium. RNAcentral describes it as "bacterial SSU rRNA". It matches the Rfam family "Bacterial small subunit ribosomal RNA", at positions 117 to 429 of the family's 1533-position model. The record is from RNAcentral. Lineage: Bacteria; Bacillati; Bacillota; Bacilli; Lactobacillales; Carnobacteriaceae.